Transfer RNA from Plasmodiophora brassicae, 74 nucleotides. It matches the Rfam family "tRNA". From Rfam's summary of the family: Transfer RNA (tRNA) molecules are approximately 80 nucleotides in length. Their secondary structure includes four short double-helical elements and three loops (D, anti-codon, and T loops). Further hydrogen bonds mediate the characteristic L-shaped molecular structure. tRNAs have two regions of fundamental functional importance: the anti-codon, which is responsible for specific mRNA codon recognition, and the 3' end, to which the tRNAs corresponding amino acid is attached (by aminoacyl-tRNA synthetases). tRNAs cope with the degeneracy of the genetic code in two manners: having more than one tRNA (with a specific anti-codon) for a particular amino acid; and 'wobble' base-pairing, i.e. permitting non-standard base-pairing at the 3rd anti-codon position. The record is from Rfam. NCBI's taxonomy places the organism in Eukaryota, Endomyxa, Phytomyxea, Plasmodiophorida, Plasmodiophoridae.
GCCUGACUAGCUCAAUUGGUCAGAGCGUGGGACUCUUAAUCUCAAGGCUCCGGGUUCGAGCCCCGGGUUGGGCU